This 473-nucleotide ribosomal RNA is filed under the name uncultured bacterium. Its description in RNAcentral is "SSU rRNA". It matches the Rfam family "Bacterial small subunit ribosomal RNA", at positions 26 to 518 of the family's 1533-position model. The record is from RNAcentral.
AGGACGAACGCUGGCGGCGUGCUUAACACAUGCAAGUCGAGCGGAAAGGCCCUUCGGGGUACUCGAGCGGCGAACGGGUGAGUAACACGUGAGUAAUCUGCCCCUAGCUCUGGGAUAGCUCCGGGAAACCGGGAUUAAUACCGGAUACGACCACUUUAGACAUCUGUUGUGGUGGAAAGAAUUUUGGCUAGGGAUGAGCUCGCGGCCUAUCAGCUUGUUGGUGGGGUAAUGGCCUACCAAGGCGACGACGGGUAGCCGGCCUGAGAGGGCGACCGGCCACACUGGGACUGAGACACGGCCCAGACUCCUACGGGAGGCAGCAGUGGGGAAUAUUGCGCAAUGGGCGAAAGCCUGACGCAGCGACGCCGCGUGGGGGAUGAAGGCCUUCGGGUUGUAAACCCUUUCAGCAGGGACGAAGCGAAAGUGACGGUACCUGCAGAAGAAGCGCCGGCUAACUACGUGCCAGCAGCCGC